UACAGAGGGGGCAAGCGUUAUUCGGAAUUAUUGGGCGUAAAGGGCGCGUAGGCGGCUUGGCAAGUGGAUGGUGAAAUCCCUCGGCUUAACCGAGGAACUGCCAUCCAGACUGCUUUGCUUGAGGCCGGGUGAGGUGAGUGGAAUUCCCAGUGUGGCGGUGAAAUGCGUAGAUAUUGGGAGGAACACCAGUGGCGAAGGCGGCUCACUGGACCGGUUCUGACGCUGAGGCGCGAAAGCGUGGGGAGCAAACGGG
This 253-nucleotide ribosomal RNA is filed under the name uncultured bacterium. RNAcentral's name for it is "partial 16S ribosomal RNA". It matches the Rfam family "Bacterial small subunit ribosomal RNA", at positions 524 to 776 of the family's 1533-position model. The record is from RNAcentral.